GACGAACGCUGGCGGCGUGCUUAACACAUGCAAGUCGAACGGUGAAGCGCCUUCCUUUUUGGUGGGUGUGGAUGAGUGGCGAACGGGUGAGUAACACGUGAGUAACCUGCCCCCUUCUUCUGGAUAACCGCAUGAAAGUGUGGCUAAUACGGGAUAUUCUGGGUCUGUCGCAUGAUGGGUCUGGGAAAGAUAUUGUUUCGGUGGGGGAUGGGCUCGCGGCCUAUCAGCUUGUUGGUGGGGUGAUGGCCUACCAAGGCGGUGACGGGUAGCCGGCCUGAGAGGGUGGACGGUCACACUGGGACGGAGACACGGCGCAGACUCCUACGGGAGGCAGCAGGGGGGAAUAUUGCACAAUGGGCGCAAGCCUGAUGCAGCGACGCCGCGGGAGGGAUGGAGGCCUUCGGGUUGUGAACCUCUUUCGCCAGUGAAGCAGGCCUGCCUCGUUUGUGGGUGGGUUGACGGUAGCUGGAUAAGAAGCGCCGGCUAACUACGUG
Molecule: ribosomal RNA, 494 nt
Filed under: uncultured bacterium
Lineage: Bacteria
Description: partial 16S ribosomal RNA
Rfam family: Bacterial small subunit ribosomal RNA
Source: RNAcentral